Physeter macrocephalus (sperm whale) is the source of this 3087-nucleotide RNA transcript. It is a transcript of the gene named protein kinase C eta, with no coding region annotated. The transcript has 15 exons. The record is from RefSeq and is a predicted model, not a curated record. Lineage: Eukaryota; Metazoa; Chordata; Mammalia; Artiodactyla; Physeteridae.
GAGCUCCCCGCCAGACCCCGUUGCAGGGAGCGCGAGCAGAGCGGGGCGAACCGGCCUGCGCCGCGCUCCCCAGGCCGCUUGCGCCCCACGACUGACCGAACGCAGGGUCGGGCGCCGGCCGCGCGCCGCGCCCCCGGGCUUCGGAGGGCGCGCCAGCCCCGCGCAGGGUUGCCGUGAACUUGGAGCCCGGCGGCGCGAGGCUCCUGCCCGGGAUGGGGCGGCAGCUGCUUCCUGGUUUGAAGCUCACCGAGUGGGGGAGAGCGUGAGCCCGCGGAGGCGGGGGCAGGAGCAGAAGCGGGAGGAGGCGGGGGCAGCAGACGCUGGAGGCUCGAGCUAAGCGGACGGGUCGCUCCGGCUCUCCGGGGAGAGGCGCUUCCCGGCCCUGGAGAAGGGGCGAGUCCCCCGCGAGCCCCCGGGAGGAGCCGCGCGCUCGAGAGGGACGGUCGGGCGCCCCCGGCCCUCUGAGGGCUUGGCGCCCAGCUCCCCUCCUUUCCACCUCGCGAGGGAGGGAGAGAGGGAGGGAAGGAGGGGAGGGAAGGUCCGGCGGGGGACGCAGAAUGGCUGGUCGAGGGGGGCUUGGGCUCCGCUUUUCCCGGGAGCUGCCUCCACUCCUGCGGCCGCCGCGAGGGCUGGCCUGAACGAGGGCUCCCCGCUCUCCCGCUGCGAGACCGCGCGGUCCCUGGGCUGGGACAGCGGCCCCGGCAUGUCGUCCGGUACCAUGAAGUUCAACGGCUACUUGAGGGUCCGCAUUGGCGAGGCCGUGGGGCUGCAGCCCACCCGCUGGUCCCUGCGCCACUCGCUCUUCAAGAAGGGCUAUCAGCUGCUGGACCCCUACCUGACGGUGAGCGUGGACCAGGUACGCGUGGGCCAGACGAGCACCAAGCAGAAGACCAACAAACCCACGUACAACGAGGAAUUCUGCGCCAACGUCACCGACGGUGGCCACCUCGAGCUGGCUGUCUUCCACGAGACGCCCCUGGGCUACGACCACUUUGUGGCCAACUGCACCCUGCAGUUCCAGGAGCUGCUGCGUACGGCCGGCGCCUCGGACACCUUCGAGGGCUGGGUGGAUCUGGAGCCAGAAGGGAAAGUAUUUGUUGUAAUAACCCUAACAGGAAGUUUCACUGAAGCUACUCUCCAGAGAGACCGCAUCUUCAAACAUUUUACCAGGAAGCGCCAAAGGGCUAUGCGAAGGCGAGUCCACCAGAUCAACGGACAUAAGUUCAUGGCCACAUACCUGAGGCAGCCCACCUACUGCUCUCACUGCAGGGAGUUUAUCUGGGGUGUAUUUGGGAAACAGGGUUAUCAAUGCCAAGUGUGCACCUGUGUCGUCCACAAGCGCUGCCAUCAUCUAAUUGUUACAGCCUGCACCUGCCAAAACAAUAUUAACAAAGUGGAUUCAAAGAUUGCCGAGCAGAGGUUCGGAAUCAACAUCCCACACAAGUUCAGCGUCCACAACUACAAGGUGCCGACGUUCUGCGAUCACUGUGGCUCUCUGCUCUGGGGGAUAAUGCGACAAGGACUUCAGUGUAAAAUAUGUAAAAUGAAUGUACACAUUCGAUGUCAGGCGAACGUGGCCCCAAACUGCGGAGUGAAUGCAGCGGAGCUGGCCAAGACUCUGGCAGGAAUGGGCCUCCAACCCGGAAGUAUUUCUCCCACCUCGAAUCUUGUUUCCAGAUCAACCCUAAGACGACAAGGAAAGGAGAGCAUCAAAGAAGGAAAUGGCAUUGGGGUUAAUUCUUCCAGUCGACUUGGGAUCAACAACUUUGAGUUCAUCCGAGUACUGGGGAAGGGAAGCUUUGGGAAGGUGAUGCUUGCAAGAAUAAAAGAAACAGGAGACCUCUAUGCCGUGAAGGUGCUAAAGAAGGACGUGAUCCUGCAAGAUGAUGAUGUGGAGUGCACCAUGACAGAGAAAAGGAUCCUGUCUUUGGCCCGCAAUCACCCCUUCCUCACUCAGUUGUUUUGCUGCUUUCAGACCCCUGAUCGUCUGUUUUUUGUGAUGGAGUUUGUGAACGGGGGCGACUUGAUGUUUCAUAUUCAGAAGUCACGUCGUUUUGAUGAGGCACGAGCCCGUUUCUAUGCUGCAGAAAUCAUUUCGGCGCUUAUGUUCCUACACGACAAAGGAAUCAUCUACAGAGAUCUGAAACUGGACAACGUACUUUUGGACCACGAGGGUCACUGUAAACUGGCAGACUUUGGAAUGUGCAAGGAGGGGAUCUGUAACGGGGUCACCACGGCCACCUUCUGCGGCACACCCGACUACAUUGCUCCAGAGAUCCUCCAGGAGAUGCUCUACGGGCCCGCAGUGGAUUGGUGGGCAAUGGGUGUGCUGCUCUACGAGAUGCUCUGUGGCCACGCGCCCUUUGAGGCAGAGAACGAAGAUGACCUCUUUGAAGCCAUACUGAACGAUGAAGUGGUCUACCCUACAUGGCUGCAUGAAGAUGCCACAGGGAUCCUGAAAUCUAAGCAUGAGCCACUGGAGGAAGCUACCAGGGUCCUGUGUACUUAAUACCCACAGAGCAAGAAUCUGCCACCUAUUUAACUUUCCAUAAAAUUCUUUUCCAUUAUAGGUUUUUACAAGAUAUUGACUAUAAUUCCUUGUGCUAUACAGUAGGUCCUGUUAUUUUUCUAUUUUAUAUACAGUAGUGUGUAUCUGUUAAUCCCAAACUCCCAAUUUACCUCUCCCCACUCCCCAACCCCCAAGUUGAGUACCUCAGUGCACCCCAAAGAAAGAUUUUUAACAAAUAAACAGAGAAGGAGAAAGCACCCGUUGGUGAGCCCUGCCCAUGCUGCUGCCCUUUGCCUCUGUGUGCGAUCCUUCCCCACCAGAGAGGCAGGAAGGCCAAGAUCCCCGAGCCAGCCCUUCACAUCCGUUCUCACCACCGAAUCAGCAUGGCGGGUCAUCUCUACUUGGCUUCCUGAGAUUUCCUGAUGAUCCUUUCUUUGGAACGUAAGUUCAUGACCAAGAACCCCACUAUGCGCUUGGGCAGCCCGAGUCAGGGUGGCGAGCAUGCCAUCUUGAGACAUCCUUUCUUUAAGGAAAUCGACUGGACCCAGCUGAACCAUCGCCAGGUAGAACCACCUUUC